CGCGUACGGUCGGGUAGCCGGUUAAAGUACACCCUGUGAAACCCGUCCGGGCGUCAAACGUCGGAGCCUGCAGGCGAAACUGCCGUGCUGGAGUGUGGGAGGGGUGCGUGGAAUUCCCGGUGUAGCAGUGAAAUGCGUAGAGAUCGGGAGGAACACCUGUGGCGAAAGCGGCGCACUGGACCACAACUGACGCUGAGGCGCGAAAGCUAGGGGAGCAAACAGGAUUAGAUACCCUGGUAGUCCUAGCCCUAAACGAUGGAUGCUUGGUGUAGCCGGUACCCAAUCCGGCUGUGCCGCAGCUAACGCGAUAAGCAUCCCGCCUGGGGAGUACGGUCGCAAGGCUGAA
RNAcentral lists this ribosomal RNA (346 nucleotides) under uncultured bacterium. RNAcentral's name for it is "bacterial SSU rRNA". It matches the Rfam family "Bacterial small subunit ribosomal RNA", at positions 574 to 898 of the family's 1533-position model. The record is from RNAcentral.